RNAcentral lists this ribosomal RNA (491 nucleotides) under uncultured bacterium. RNAcentral's name for it is "partial 16S ribosomal RNA". It matches the Rfam family "Bacterial small subunit ribosomal RNA", at positions 29 to 507 of the family's 1533-position model. The record is from RNAcentral.
GUGAACGCUGGCGGUAGGCCUAACACAUGCAAGUCGAACGGCAGCACAGUAAGAGCUUGCUCUUACGGGUGGCGAGUGGCGGACGGGUGAGGAAUACAUCGGAAUCUACUUUUUCGUGGGGGAUAACGUAGGGAAACUUACGCUAAUACCGCAUGCGACCUACGGGUGAAAGCAGGGGAUCUUCGGACCUUGCGCGAUUGAAUGAGCCGAUGUCGGAUUAGCUAGUUGGCGGGGUAAAGGCCCACCAAGGCGACGAUCCGUAGCUGGUCUGAGAGGAUGAUCAGCCACACUGGAACUGAGACACGGUCCAGACUCCUACGGGAGGCAGCAGUGGGGAAUAUUGGACAAUGGGCGCAAGCCUGAUCCAGCCAUACCGCGUGGGUGAAGAAGGCCUUCGGGUUGUAAAGCCCUUUUGUUGGGAAAGAAAAGCAGCAGGUUAAUACCCCGCUGUUCUGACGGUACCCAAAGAAUAAGCACCGGCUAACUUCGUG